CCUACGGGAGGCAGCAGUGGGGAAUUUUGGACAAUGGGCGCAAGCCUGAUCCAGCAAUGCCGCGUGAGUGAAGAAGGCCUUCGGGUUGUAAAGCUCUUUUGUCAGGGAAGAAACGGUGGAGGCUAAUAUCCUUUGCUAAUGACGGUACCUGAAGAAUAAGCACCGGCUAACUACGUGCCAGCAGCCGCGGUAAUACGUAGGGUGCAAGCGUUAAUCGGAAUUACUGGGCGUAAAGCGUGCGCAGGCGGUUUUGUAAGUUUGUCGUGAAAUCCCCGGGCUCAACCUGGGAAUGGCGAUGAAGACUGCAAGGCUAGAAUCUGGCAGAGGGGGGUAGAAUUCCACGUGUAGCAGUGAAAUGCGUAGAGAUGUGGAGGAACACCGAUGGCGAAGGCAGCCCCCUGGGUCAAGAUUGACGCUCAUGCACGAAAGCGUGGGGAGCAAACAGGAUUAGAUACCCUGGUAGUCCACGCCCUAAACGAUGUCUACUAGUUGUCGGGUUUUAAUUAACUUGGUAACGCAGCUAACGCGUGAAGUAGACCGCCUGGGGGAGGUACGGUCGCGAGAAGUUAAAACGUUAAAGUUAGUAAGUUAGACGGACGUGAGACGUGCCGACGGACGACGACGAGGGAGGAGG
RNAcentral lists this ribosomal RNA (634 nucleotides) under uncultured bacterium. RNAcentral's name for it is "bacterial SSU rRNA". The stretch from base 1 to 542 matches the Rfam family "Bacterial small subunit ribosomal RNA", at positions 338 to 873 of the family's 1533-position model. The record is from RNAcentral.